RNAcentral lists this ribosomal RNA (505 nucleotides) under uncultured bacterium. RNAcentral describes it as "partial 16S ribosomal RNA". It matches the Rfam family "Bacterial small subunit ribosomal RNA", at positions 28 to 507 of the family's 1533-position model. The record is from RNAcentral.
GACGAACGCUGGCGGCGUGCCUAAUACAUGCAAGUAGAACGCACAGAUUAUACCGUAGCUUGCUACACCAUAGACUGUGAGUUGCGAACGGGGGAGUAACGCGUAGGUAACCUGUCUGGGAGCGGGGGAUAACUAUUGGAAACGAUAGCUAAUACAGCAUAAUAUUAAUUAUUGCAUGAUACUUAAUUGAAAGGUGCAAUUGCACCACUACCAGAUGGUCCUGCGUUGUAUUAGCUAGUAGGUGAGGUAACGGCCCACCUAGGCGACGAUUCAUAGCCUAGCUUGGGAGGUGGUCGGCCAAAAUGGGAACGGGGAACGGCCCAGGCUUCUUCGGGGAGCAGCAGGUGGGAAAUAUCGGCAAAGGGGGGAAGUCUGGACCAACAAAUACGCGUGGGUUGAAGAAGUUUUCGGGGUGUAAAAGUCUUUUUUUUGGGAAAGACGGGUAGCAGGGUAAAAAGUUCACGCUCUGACGGUAUCUAACCAAAAAGCGACGGCUAACUACGUG